RNAcentral lists this ribosomal RNA (1228 nucleotides) under metagenome. RNAcentral describes it as "bacterial SSU rRNA". It matches the Rfam family "Bacterial small subunit ribosomal RNA", at positions 8 to 1196 of the family's 1533-position model. The record is from RNAcentral.
AGAGUUUGAUCCUGGCUCAGAACGAACGUUGGCGGCGUGGAUUAGGCAUGCAAGUCGAGCGGGAUUCCAUUUUUUCAAUUCUUCGGAAGAGAAGUUAUGGAUGAGAGCGGCGAACGGGUGAGUAAUAUAUGGGUAAUUUGCCUCUUUGUUCGGGAUAGCCAUCGGAAACGAUGAUUAAUACCGGAUGUGUUCGGGUGCUGCAUAGCACCUUAUAUAAAGGCGGGGAUUCUUCGGAACCUGUCGCGAAGAGAUAAGCCCAUAUCCUAUCAGCUUGUUGGUGAGGUAAUGGCUCACCAAGGCUUACGGGUAGCUGGUCUGAGAGGAUGGUCAGCCACACUGGAACUGAGACACGGUCCAGACUCCUACGGGAGGCUGCAGUCGAGAAUCAUUGUCAAUGCACGGAAGUGUGAACAUGCGACGCCGCGUGGAGGAAGACGGCCUUUGGGUUGUAAACUCCUGUCAGCAGGGAGGAAUUACGGAAUUCUUAAUACGAAUUCCGUUUGACAGUACCUGCAGAGGAAGUCACGGCUAACUCUGUGCCAGCAGCCGCGGUAAUACAGAGGUGGCGAACGUUGUUCGGAUUUACUGGGCGUAAAGGGACCGCAGGCGGUCUUGUGUGUCGGAUGUGAAAGCUCACGGCUCAACCGUGGAAUUGCAUUCGAAACUGCAAGACUAGAGUACUGGAGGGGAGAAGGGAACACUUGGUGUAGCGGUGAAAUGCGUAGAUAUCAAGUGGAACACCGGCGGCGAAGGCGCUUCUCUGGACAGAUACUGACGCUCAUGGACGAAAGUUAGGGUAGCGAAAGGGAUUAGAUACCCCUGUAGUCCUAACCGUAAACGGUGUGCGCUAGGCGUGGGUGGCUUUACCCCCAUCCGUGCCUGAGCUAACGCAUUAAGCGCACCGCCUGGGGAGUACGGUCGCAAGAUUAAAACUCAAAGGAAUUGACGGGGACCCGCACAAGCGGUGGAGCAUGUGGCUUAAUUCGAUGCAACGCGAAGAACCUUACCUGGGCUUGACAUAUAGCUGCAUCCGACCUGAAAGGGACGGAGCCUUCGAGGGUGCUAUACAGGUGCUGCAUGGCUGUCGUCAGCUCGUGCCGUGAGGUGUUGGGUUAAGUCCCGCAACGAGCGCAACCCCUGUGUUUAGUUGCCAGCACGUAAUGGUGGGAACUCUAAACAGACUGCUUGUGAAAACAAGAGGAAGGUGGGGAUGACGUCAAGUCAGUAU